Long non-coding RNA from Oncorhynchus keta (chum salmon), 1012 nucleotides. RefSeq lists it as uncharacterized. The record is from RefSeq and is a predicted model, not a curated record. The transcript has 3 exons. NCBI's taxonomy places the organism in Eukaryota, Metazoa, Chordata, Actinopteri, Salmoniformes, Salmonidae.
GAGAUCAGGUCCAGGAGUCUCUAAUGGGAUCAGAUGGGAGAUCAGGUCCAGGAGUCUCUAAUGGGAUCAGAUGGGAGAUCAGGUCCAGGAGUCUCUAAUGGGAUCAGAUGGGAGAUCAGGUCCAGGAGUCUCUAAUGGGAUCAGAUGGGAGAUCAGGUCCAGGAGUCUCUAAUGGGAUCAGAUGGGAGAUCAGGUCCAGGAGUCUCUAAUGGGAUCAGAUGGGAGAUCAGGUCCAGGAGUCUCUAAUGGGAUCAGAUGGGAGAUCAGGUCCAGGAGUCUCUAACAGGAUCAGAUGGGAGAUCAGGUCCAGGAGUCUCUAAUGGGAUCAGAUGGGAGAUCAGGUCCAGGAGUCUCUAAUGGGAUCAGAUGGGAGAUCAGGUCCAGGAGUCUCUAACAGGAUCAGAUGGGAGGUCCCAGAGAGAUCAGGUCUAGGAGUCUCUAAUGGGAUCAGAUGGGAGAUCAGGUCUAGGAGUCCCUAACAGGAUCAGAUGGGAGAUCAGGUCCAGGAGUCUCUAAUGGGAUCAGAUGGGAGAUCAGGUCCAGGAGUCUCUAACAGGAUCAGAUGGGAGAUCAGGUCCAGGAGUCUCUAACAGGAUCAGAUGGGAGAUCAGGUCCAGGAGUCUCUAACAGGAUCAGAUGGGAGAUCAGGCCCAGGAGUCUCUAAUGGGAUCAGAUGGGAGAUCAGGUCCAGGAGUCUCUAACAUGAUCAGAUAGGAGGUCCCAGAGAGAUCAGGUCUAGGAGUCUCUAACAUGAUCAGAUAGGAGGUCCCAGAGAGAUCAGGUCCAAGAGUCUCUAAUGGGAUCAGAUGGCAGAUCAGGUCCAGGAGUCUCUAACAGGAUCAGAUGGGAGAUCAGGUCCAGGAGUCUCUAACUGGAUCAGAUGGGAGAUCAGGUCCAGGAGUCUCUAACAGGAUCAGAUGGGAGGUCCCAGAGAGAUCAGGUCCAGGAGUCUCUAACAGGAUCAGAUGGGAGAUCAGGUCCAGGAGUCUCUAAUGGGAUCAGAUGGGAGAUC